GACAUCUUAAUUGAUAGUUAUGUAUAAACGUCAAUUUUCUAGAAUAAUUUUUUCCGUUAAAUUUACGUGCGGAUGACGAACCUCUUAACAAUUCUGCUUUCAAUAACACCUCAAAUGAUGAGGCUCUGGAAAUUCAAAAAUAAGAAUUUCACGAAUGAUGAAUGUCUAUAAUAAUUGCAUUUACAGAAAUAUUACAAAUGAUGAAUGUUCAGAAACGAAAGUACAUGAACAUGUCAAGUGAUGAAGGUUUAGAAAUGCAAGUACAGGAACAUUAGAAAUGAUGAAGGCAAGUACAGGAGCAUGUCAAACAAUUAAUGUUUAGAAAUGCAAGUACAGGAACAUCUGAAAUGAUGAAGACAAAUACAUGAUCAUGUCAAAUGAUGAAUGUUUAGAAAUGCAAGUAGAGGAAUAUAUCAAAUGAUGAAAGUUCAAAAAGGCAAGUCCGGGGACAUUUCGAACGAUGAAUAUCGAGAAUACAAGUGCAGAAACACUUCAAAUGAUGGAAAUGCAAAUACAGGAACAUUCAUCAAAUGAUUAAUAUUCAGAAACACAGGAACAGUGUAAUGAAUGUUUAGAAAUGCAAGUACAGGAACAUCUGAAAUAAUGAAGGCAAGUACAGGAGCAUGUCAAAUGAUUAAUGUUCAGAAAUGCGAGUAGAGGAACAUCUAAAAUGAUGAAAGUUGAAAAGGGAAGCACGAGAACAUUUCUAAUGUUUUCCUUGUGGCCACAUCAAAUUUGACCAAACAUCUGGAAACUGCAUUAAAUUUGCUACGAGAUAAGGUCUGUGCGUCAAAAAAGUCUUAUUGCGGGAGCGAAAACUACCUCAUUAAGUGUGCUUUCGAAUGACAUAUCAACUCUGGUGCUAGCUGCUUGUCUUCCGUCAUAUAUCAUGGCCUCGAUCAUGGCUCACAAGAUAACAACGAAAAGUUGAAAUAUUACAAACUUAAAUUUCAGUCAUCAGAGAAAAUUCUGAAAAAUCAUUGACGCAAGAUUAAUAUUGGUAUGAUAGCAGCCUUAAUAUUUGGCAUUUCGCCGAGAUGA
Long non-coding RNA from Harmonia axyridis, 1041 nucleotides. RefSeq lists it as uncharacterized. The record is from RefSeq and is a predicted model, not a curated record. NCBI's taxonomy places the organism in Eukaryota, Metazoa, Arthropoda, Insecta, Coleoptera, Coccinellidae. The transcript is spliced from 3 exons.